Molecule: microRNA precursor, 98 nt
Filed under: Oryza brachyantha (malo sina)
Lineage: Eukaryota; Viridiplantae; Streptophyta; Magnoliopsida; Poales; Poaceae
Description: pre miRNA MIR164
Rfam family: MIR164 microRNA precursor family
Source: RNAcentral
CAGACCGUGCUGGAGAAGCAGGGCACGUGCUCGACGGCUAGGCUUGCAGGCCGCAGCUUGGCUUAGCAGCAUGUGCGUUCCUUCUCCAGCAUGGCUUC